RNAcentral lists this ribosomal RNA (444 nucleotides) under uncultured bacterium. RNAcentral's name for it is "bacterial SSU rRNA". It matches the Rfam family "Bacterial small subunit ribosomal RNA", at positions 355 to 796 of the family's 1533-position model. The record is from RNAcentral.
UAAGGAAUAUUGGACAAUGCCCGCAAGGGUGAUCCAGCCAUGCCGCGUGCAGGAAGAAGGCCCUAUGGGUUGUAAACUGCUUUUAUACCGGAGAAAACCCCCGCUCGUGAGCGGGGCUGAUAGUAUGGUAGGAAUAAGCAUCGGCUAACUUCGUGCCAGCAGCCGCGGUAAGACGAAGGAUGCAAGCGUUAUCCGGAUUCAUUGGGUUUAAAGGGAGCGUAGGUGGUCUUGUAAGUCAGUGGUGAAAUCUGGCAGCUUAACUGUUAAAUUGCCAUUGAUACUGCAGGACUUGAGUACAGAUGCCGUUGGCGGAAUAUGACAUGUAGUGGUGAAAUACAUAGAGAUGUCAUAGAACACCGAUUGCGAAGGCAGCUGACGAAACUGUAACUGACACUGAGGCUCGAAAGUGUGGGGAUCAAACAGGAUUAGAUACCCGCGUAGUCC